AUACAUGCAGUCGAACGAGUUCUCGUUGAUGAUCGGUGCUUGCACCGAGAUUCAACAUGGAACGAGUGGCGGACGGGUGAGUAACACGUGGGUAACCUGCCCUUAAGUGGGGGAUAACAUUUGGAAACAGAUGCUAAUACCGCAUAGAUCCAAGAACCGCAUGGUUCUUGGCUGAAAGAUGGCGUAAGCUAUCGCUUUUGGAUGGACCCGCGGCGUAUUAGCUAGUUGGUGAGGUAAUGGCUCACCAAGGCGAUGAUACGUAGCCGAACUGAGAGGUUGAUCGGCCACAUUGGGACUGAGACACGGCCCAAACUCCUACGGGAGGCAGCAGUAGGGAAUCUUCCACAAUGGACGCAAGUCUGAUGGAGCAACGCCGCGUGAGUGAAGAAGGCUUUCGGGUCGUAAAACUCUGUUGUUGGAGAAGAAUGGUCGGCAGAGUAACUGUUGUCGGCGUGACGGUAUCCAACCAGAAAGCCACGGCUAACUACGUGCCAGCAGCCGCGGUAAUACGUAGGUGGCAAGCGUUAUCCGGAUUUAUUGGGCGUAAAGCGAGCGCAGGCGGUUUUUUAAGUCUGAG
RNAcentral lists this ribosomal RNA (577 nucleotides) under Lacticaseibacillus paracasei. Its description in RNAcentral is "bacterial SSU rRNA". It matches the Rfam family "Bacterial small subunit ribosomal RNA", at positions 51 to 593 of the family's 1533-position model. The record is from RNAcentral. Lineage: Bacteria; Bacillati; Bacillota; Bacilli; Lactobacillales; Lactobacillaceae.